Molecule: long non-coding RNA, 1008 nt
Organism: Brassica oleracea var. oleracea
Lineage: Eukaryota; Viridiplantae; Streptophyta; Magnoliopsida; Brassicales; Brassicaceae
Exons: 4
Source: RefSeq, a predicted model, not a curated record
UCUGUCAAUCAUGCUGACGUUCCGUAUGAACUCUAAUUUAGAGCUUCAUGAGUUCACCCAGCCUUUGCUCAAAAAAAAGAAGAGUUCAUCCAGCCUCCGUCACAUCUAUCAUCACUUCUAAUAAAGGUAUUCACUAUGUUGAACUAAGCAUACUUUCCCACCUUAUACCGUUUCAGGUAUCCAUCGGUCCACUACUAUAAAUAUGUGGCAAAUAACGCUAUUUUCACUCACUAUUUUCACUUCCCAGUUAUGCCUAAUGUUGAUUUUCUCAGCGAUGUCGCGAAACUUCUUUUCCAUGAGCUCGAUGAGAUACUCUGAUGUUUUAUUGGAAUAAUAAUUUCAAGUAUUACGUGGUUAUAUUGAUGUAUCGUAUCAGAUGGAGAACAUAUUAGAAUUUUUAGGCUAGAACAAGUUUUAGUUGAUCACAAGACUGGCCGAAAGCAAUAUUCUUUGAGUUUACUCCAGACCUAUAUAUUAACUUCAGGUAAAUAUAUUUGCCAAGGAUGAUGACCUUCAAAAUCAGGCUCAACCUCUUGAAGAUUUUGCAAGAAGGCUUAAACCGAAGGAAAAAAGUGUGGUGACUGUGGUAAGAAAGACUUUUGAUCAGUUGGUAUCAAACUGUCCUGAUAAUGUUCAUCUUGAGGUACAUAAACCAUAGUGUUGAAUUGUAAGGCACUGAGAAGCACAUGUCGUGAAGUUGGCUAAGCAUUUCAAAGGCUUUGAGAAUUUUAUUUGUAAGAAUUUAUGCAUCGGAAAAUGAGCAGCCUAAACUACAUGUGAAUUAAAUCUUACCUAAAACCAAGAUAUGUGAUUCCCAAAUCAUGACCCGAUCUUUGUUAAUGACAGGUUAAUGAUUAUCUGACGACAUUUCUCUACAAAUUUGGUAGAAAUGAGAAGCAGAAUAACCUUUUUCAUAGAGCUUCACUAGCUCAAACCCUUUUCGCUUUUACUACUUUUUGGUGUAUCUUAACAAGUCUGAUUUGCAGUUAAAACUAUUAAUUAAAUUGA